AUACGUAGGUGACAAGCGUUAUCCGGAUUUACUGGGCGUAAAGGGCGUGUAGGCGGUCUUGCAAGUCAGAAGUGAAAUUCCUGAGCUCAACUCGGGCGCUGCUUCUGAAACUGCAGGACUUGAGUGCUGGAGGGGAUAGCGGAAUUCCUAGUGGAGCGGUAAAAUGCGCAGAUAUUAGGAAGAACACCGGUGGCGAAGGCGGCUAUCUGGACAGUAACUGACGCUGAGGCACGAAAGCGUGGGGAUCGAACAGGAUUAGAUACCCUGGUAGUCCACGCCGUAAACGAUGGGCGCUCGUCGUCGGCGACAGACAGUCGGCGGCCAAGCGAAAGCGAUAAGCGCCCCACCUGGGGAGUACGGUCGCAAGGCUGAAACUCAAAUGAAUUGACGGGG
This 393-nucleotide ribosomal RNA is filed under the name uncultured bacterium. RNAcentral describes it as "partial 16S ribosomal RNA". It matches the Rfam family "Bacterial small subunit ribosomal RNA", at positions 523 to 918 of the family's 1533-position model. The record is from RNAcentral.